AAACAAGACCACUUCUCAACAGAGAAAGCCCGGUGCCCACAGAGGCCCGACGCUGGCUCUCACUUGCAGUGCUUGAUGAACUCGACGUUGGUGUAGUGAAGCUUGCCCAGGCUCUCCUCCAAGUACUGGCGGAAGCUGCGCAGGGACACCUGCAUGACGUCGACGUAGCUGAGCAGCUCCCGGUGCAGCGCGCUGCUGAGAGUAACCAGCCUGGGGGGGCACAGGAGGACAUGAGUAACCAGCCUGGGGGGCACAGGAGGGCACGAUGGUGACCUGCGCGUGGGAGGGCAGCCUGCGGGGGCGCCAGAGCGCCACUGUGGCGCCCAUCUGUGGGAGCAGCAGAACCACCGCCAUGUUCCUCUGGGUAGAAACAGAAGCUUAGAAGGAAGCUCAAAUUCCAGGGUUCUGUAGGGCACAGUGUGGAACUCUCAGUGUGCUGGGUCAGAGGACAGCCCUCUCCUCGCUCUGGGCCUUGCCACCAAAUUACUAAAGGAAUCCACCAGGUCCCACUGGAUCUUCCUCCUCCCUGCGGCACAAACUUUCUCUCUCGCACCUGCGCCUGGUGUUCUCCCGAAGGAGCACCCUGAGCCUGAAUUCCAACAGACUUCUACAGUGGAGUACACAGAACCUGGAUGUGGCCAGAAGGGAUCCAUCAUCGCGCCAGGUGAAACUUCAGUGUUUCCUCAUGGCUUUGCUGCCUCAGUUGGUCCAAGAGCUGAUCAAGGUGGGCCUCCUGGGCCUGGAAGCCACCCCCAAAACAGGGAGUAGAUGUAAGUUACCAAAGCUUGCAGAGUGCAU
RNAcentral lists this long non-coding RNA (798 nucleotides) under Suricata suricatta (meerkat). RNAcentral's name for it is "lncRNA (ENSSSUG00005017879.1)". The record is from RNAcentral. Lineage: Eukaryota; Metazoa; Chordata; Mammalia; Carnivora; Herpestidae.